This 200-nucleotide unclassified non-coding RNA is filed under the name Botryobasidium sp. RNAcentral describes it as "partial internal transcribed spacer 2". The record is from RNAcentral. Lineage: Eukaryota; Fungi; Basidiomycota; Agaricomycetes; Cantharellales; Botryobasidiaceae.
UUAAGUUCAGCGGGUAGUCCUACCCGAUUUGAGGUCAGAUGUCGAAAACCAGGUUUCGGUGUUGUCCGCGGGGGACGGUUGGAAGCGGAACCCAACGUUGACCAAGGACUGCUCGACGGGUGAUCUUAUCACGCCAUAAGGUCCGAGGCCGGAGGGAGAUCCAGCUAAUGCAUUCAAGACGAGCCGAGCGCAGAGCGCCC